AGUUGCACAGCUGCCUGGUAGGUGACUGGAGGCAUUGAGCAGUGUGCUCACUGGUAUUUCGCUGAUGUGGCCCCAACCCCGCCUCCCUCCCCACCCCGCGAUGUCAGAAAAAACACAACAGGGGAAAUUGGCCGCAGCCAAGAAAAAGUUAAAAGCAUAUUGGCAGAGGAAGAGCCCUGGCAUUCCAGCAGGAGCUAACAGGAAAAAGAAAAUCAAUGGCAGUAGCCCUGACACAGCCACUUCUGGUGGUUACCACUCACCUGGGGAUUCAGCAACAGGUAUCUACGGGGAAGGCCGUGCAUCCUCUACUACCCUGGAGGAUCUGGAGAGCCAGUACCAAGAACUAGCAGUGGCCCUGGAUUCAAGCUCCGCAAUAAUCAGUCAACUCACUGAAAACAUCAAUUCACUGGUUCGCACAUCUAAGGAGGAGAAGAAGCAUGAGAUACAUCUGGUACAGAAGCUUGGGAGGAGCUUGUUCAAACUCAAAAACCAGACGGCUGAACCCCUGGCCCCAGAGCCCCCAGCAGGGCCAUCUAAGGUAGAGCAGCUACAAGAUGAGACCAACCACCUAAGGAAGGAGCUAGAG
Molecule: long non-coding RNA, 586 nt
Organism: Homo sapiens (human)
Lineage: Eukaryota; Metazoa; Chordata; Mammalia; Primates; Hominidae
Source: Ensembl